UGCAGUCGACGAUGAUGCCCAGCUUGCUGGGUGGAUUAGUGGCGAACGGSUGAGUAACACGUGAGUAACCUGCCCCUGACUCUGGGAUAAGCGUUGGAAACGACGUCUAAUACUGGAUAUGACUACCGGCCGCAUGGUCUGGUGGUGGAAAGAUUUUUUGGUUGGGGAUGGACUCGCGGCCUAUCAGCUUGUUGGUGAGGUAAUGGCUCACCAAGGCGACGACGGGUAGCCGGCCUGAGAGGGUGACCGGCCACACUGGGACUGAGACACGGCCCAAACUCCUACGGGAGGCAGCAGUGGGGAAUAUUGCACAAUGGGCGAAAGCCUGAUGCAGCAACGCCGCGUGAGGGAUGACGGCCUUCGGGUUGUAAACCUCUUUUAGUAGGGAAGAAGCGAAAGUGACGGUWCCUGCAGAAAAAGCACCGGCUAACUACGUGCCAGCAGCCGCGGUAAUACGUAGGGUGCAAGCGUUGUCCGGAAUUAUUGGGCGUAAAGAGCUCGUAGGCGGUUUGUCGCGUCUGCUGUGAAAUCCCGAGGCUCAACCUCGGGCUUGCAGUGGGUACGGGCAGACUAGAGUGCGGUAGGGGAGAUUGGAAUUCCUGGUGUAGCGGUGGAAUGCGCAGAUAUCAGGAGGAACACCGAUGGCGAAGGCAGAUCUCUGGGCCGUAACUGACGCUGAGGAGCGAAAGCAUGGGGAGCGAACAGGAUUAGAUACCCUGGUAGUCCAUSCCGUAAACGUUGGGCGAUAGAWGUAGGGACCUUUCCACGGUUUCUGUGUCGUAGCUAACGCAUUAAGCGCCCCGCCUGGGGAGUACGGCCGCAAGGCUAAAACUCAAAGGAAUUGACGGGGGCCCGCACAAGCGGCGGAGCAUGCGGAUUAAUUMGAUGCAACGCGAAGAWCCUUACCAAGGCUUGACAUACACCGAAACGGCCAGAGAU
This 939-nucleotide ribosomal RNA is filed under the name Curtobacterium sp. LSB4.4. Its description in RNAcentral is "bacterial SSU rRNA". It matches the Rfam family "Bacterial small subunit ribosomal RNA", at positions 56 to 1007 of the family's 1533-position model. Lineage: Bacteria; Bacillati; Actinomycetota; Actinomycetes; Micrococcales; Microbacteriaceae. The record is from RNAcentral. RNAcentral also lists the same sequence under 1 other name.